RNAcentral lists this ribosomal RNA (496 nucleotides) under uncultured bacterium. RNAcentral describes it as "partial 16S ribosomal RNA". It matches the Rfam family "Bacterial small subunit ribosomal RNA", at positions 28 to 507 of the family's 1533-position model. The record is from RNAcentral.
GAUGAACGCUGGCGGCGUGCCUAAUACAUGCAAGUCGAGCGAACGGACGAGAAGCUUGCUUUUCUGAUGUUAGCGGCGGACGGGUGAGUAACACGUGGAUACCUACCUAUAAGACUGGGAUAACUUCGGGAAACCGGAGCUAAUAUCGGAUAAUAUUUUGAACCGCAUGGUUCAAAAGUGAAAGACGGUCUUGCUGUCACUUAUAGAUGGAUCCGCGCUGCAUUAGCUAGUUGGUAAGGUAACGGCUUACCAAGGCAACGAGGCAUAGCCGACCUGAAGGGGUGAUCGGCCACACUGGAACGGAGACACGGUCCAGACUCCUACGGGGGGCAGCAGUAGGGAAUCUGCCGCAAGGGGCGAAAGCCUGACGGAGCAACGCCGCGUGAGUGAUGAAGGUCUUCGGAUCGUAAAACUCUGUUAUUAGGGAAGAACAUAUGUGUAAGUAACUGUGCACAUCGUGACGGUACCUAAUCAGAAAGCCACGGCUAACUACGUG